AGACCAAGAUCAGUAGAAAGUGUUUAUUGAAAACACACAAGAACUGUUCAAAUACAUGCUCUGAGUCACAUCCUAAAAACUAACAUGCCAACCACUAAAACAGCAAAAAUAUGAAAUAAAGAUGAACAAAUAAUAUGCAGCAAAAACAAAAGCAGCUUUGGAUGCAUAGCAUUUUCAUAAUCGUAGUUGUAAUCAAACCUCUUGUGAGGUGUUGUUCAUGUGUAAAUCUUCCAUCCUUCACAGUGAAACCUGUUGUUUGAGAGAUCAGGUUAAAGGUUUUUUAAUAUCUACAAACAUUGUUUAAGUGAUAUCACGACAACUGCAAGUGGAAGUUUUUAUCUUCUCUACAUAGAAGAAAAAAUAAUGUCACAAACUUUACCUUUGAAAGCUGCAACACCUGAAUGAGUUCACUACACCAGCGUCUGAUGUGUCGUCCUCUGCAUCCAAACAGUCUGCAGUAAAUAUGCUAAGUGAUGACAUGCAGGAAGUUUCUGAUAAUCUACAGCUCCUCUGAUAAGAGGAAGUGACAAACAAGAAGUCAGUCAUGAAUAUGCAUUAGUCCCUCCUGCAGUGGAAACAUUUCAGAAAUUAUCUGUUUCUGGUCAAGUGCUUGCUCAUUCUGUUGUGGUUCAAGUCAAGCAUGAGAAAUAUGAUGAGCUGGAAUGGUUGACAUACACAGUAUGGUUAUUGUACUUGAGUAUCCUGUCAUGACAGCCUAGGCGUAAGUAUCACAAGAGCACCGGGGCCCAGAAGCUGUCGUCUGCAUCAGGAUCAACAACAGUUGUACUCUGCUUGUCCUGGUUUUGAAUGUGACCUGGUUUCACUGCAAAACGUCCAUUAACAUUUCUUCAACCACUCAGCACUACAGCAGACUCCCCUCGCUGUUAGCGUGACUUCACACAGGAUGAGGCGUUGCAGCAAGUCGUAGCAGGGUUGUCCGGUGGUCGUGUGGAGGUGAGGGGAGCUGAGGUGGGUUGCUGUGGGCGUGUCUAUAAGUUGCUGUGGGCGUGUCUAUAAGUUGCUGUGGGCGUGUCUAUAAGUGCUGAAUGUAACCGCUGUGAAACAAUCAGGAAAUAACUUGUUAUUUUGCUGAUUGUGAGCAAGUGACAGAAGCAAAACACAUCCAGAAACUGCUCGGGGAUCAAGGGGUUAAAUCUGCAUUAAAAAAAAAAAGAUCCAAAACCUUAAAUUGCACAUCAACUGCAUGGGCAGAGCUGGUAGCAGAGCAGCAGUCUGAUACCUCCAUUAAGGGGCCGUGAGAAACUGCAAUGACAAUCAGCUGGUGAGGAAGUAGAUGUGUUGUGGUGAGAGACGUGUGAGGAAAAAAACUAUUUCUGUGCUACCAGCCACCUUCUGUGUUCUGGCUUGGUUUAUUUCAUCUACUCAGCUUCUCUGUCUGUGUCUGGCUUGAAGUUUAUGCUGCAAAGUAGUGACAUGAAGAAGUUUCAGCCACAGCUGCCCCCCUGAACCCCACACACUGAUGGACAACCCUGUGGUGAUUCGGCACAAUGCCUGACUUGGUCUGAGUACGGCCUACUUUUACUCCCUCUUCAUUUUUAUGUGCAACAGGACAUGACGCAAUCACUCCAUGUUGCUGAUAUUUGUUGUUUAUGUGACUGUGCUGUGAAAUAAUACCAGCAGCAGAGACAGAGGGCGCAGCUUGACUGCAGUGAGUGCAUGGAAAUGAAUGAAGGGUAGUUUCUGACAGGAGAGUGCAUCAUUUACAACACUGUUGAAUGCUCAUGCAUGUAACCCUCGGCGUACUAUGUGCACCUUUAAUUCUCAAGACGUUUCAAUAUGGUGGGAGAUACAUCUCAGAAUAAACACUGUCUAGGGCAGGGGUGUCAAACUGAUAAAACAAGACAAACACAGCACAUCAGUUUAACUUUGUAUUAUGAAUGAAAUAAAGAAGUUUUUAACAUGUAUCGAAAAUACCACGAGCCCGGGCAUGAAAAAAAAAACAACAUAACCACUGGGGGAAAAAAAACCCGGAUACUGAGUGCGCUCUUUUGUUCAGUAGGUUUAGUUUAGUUAUGCAAGCUUGCAAUAAUUAUAGUUGGAGCUCGUGAGGAAAACACAGAUCUGCUCCGGUCAUAGAAUAAAAAACCUCAGGCGUCCUCCUGGUCCCGGCACAGCACAGCACGACCCCCUGGAUCCGCAGCAAGUCCACCACCGCUGACGAAGCUCCUCCCGGCUGCAGUCUCGUCUGCAAAGAGGCAGGGCCGACGUCUCUCCAGAACAGAGACUCCGGCCAGCUGGAUUCACCGGACU
This is a long non-coding RNA of Larimichthys crocea (large yellow croaker), 2271 nucleotides long. RefSeq lists it as uncharacterized. The transcript is spliced from 2 exons. The record is from RefSeq and is a predicted model, not a curated record. NCBI's taxonomy places the organism in Eukaryota, Metazoa, Chordata, Actinopteri, Sciaenidae.